This 460-nucleotide ribosomal RNA is filed under the name uncultured bacterium. RNAcentral describes it as "partial 16S ribosomal RNA". It matches the Rfam family "Bacterial small subunit ribosomal RNA", at positions 338 to 795 of the family's 1533-position model. The record is from RNAcentral.
CCUACGGGAGGCAGCAGUGAGGAAUAUUGGUCAAUGGGCGUAAGCCUGAACCAGCCAAGUCGCGUGCAGGAUGACUGCUCUAUGGGUUGUAAACUUCUUUUGUACCGGGGUAAAACGCGCUACGUGUAGCGUUUUUAAUGUACGGUACGAAUAAGGAUCGGCUAACUCCGUGCCAGCAGCCCCGGUUAUACGGAGGAUCCGAGCGUUAUGCGGAUUUAUUGGGUUUAAAGGGUGCGUAGUUGGUGUUAUAAGUUAGGGGUGAAAGACAGAUGAUCAACCUUCGGGCUGCCGCUAAUACUGUCGGACUAGAGAACGCGUGAAGCAGGCGGAAUGUGUGGUGUAGCGGUGAAAUGCAUAGAUAUCACACAGAACACCGAUUGCGAAGGCAGCUUACUAGGCCGGAACUGACACUGAUGCACGAAAGUGUGGGGAUCGAACAGGAUUAGAUACCCGGGUAGUC